CAUACCUACAACUGUUGCUUCGGCGGGUAGGGUCCCCGUGACCCUCCCGGCCUCCCGCCCCCCCGGGCGGGUCGGCGCCCGCCGGAGGAUAACCAAACUCUGAUUUAACGACGUUUCUUCUGAGUGGUACAAGCAAAUAAUCAAAACUUUUAACAACGGAUCUCUUGGUUCUGGCAUCGAUGAAGAACGCAGCGAAAUGCGAUAAGUAAUGUGAAUUGCAGAAUUCAGUGAAUCAUCGAAUCUUUGAACGCACAUUGCGCCCGCCAGCAUUCUGGCGGGCAUGCCUGUUCGAGCGUCAUUUCAACCCUCAAGCUCUGCUUGGUGUUGGGGCCCUACAGCUGAUGUAGGCCCUCAAAGGUAGUGGCGGACCCUCCCGGAGCCUCCUUUGCGUAGUAACUUUACGUCUCGCACUGGGAUCCGGAGGGACUCUUGCCGUAAAACCCCCCAAUUUUCCAAAGGUUGACCUCGGAUCAGGUAGGAAUACCCGCUGAACUUAAGCAUAUCA
Molecule: ribosomal RNA, 505 nt
Filed under: Colletotrichum theobromicola
Lineage: Eukaryota; Fungi; Ascomycota; Sordariomycetes; Glomerellales; Glomerellaceae
Description: eukaryotic LSU rRNA
Rfam family: 5.8S ribosomal RNA (bases 145-298)
Source: RNAcentral